GGAGAACACAUUCAAAGAGGUCUAGAAGGUACAGAUUCCAAAAGGAAGGAAUGGAGAACACAUUCAACUGGGUCUAGAAGAUACAGAUCCCAAAAGGAUUGUGAGCAGAGUUAUCUUCAUUAAGCAGAGGAAUCAAGAACACAUUAAAUGAGGUGUAGAAGGUACAGAUCCCCAAAGGAGGGUGAGUAAAGUUAUCUUCAAUGAGCAGAGGCCAGACCACAGAGUAUCCCUGCACUCCCUGCCUUCCUUCAGGUCAUUAUUAAAGUCUGAUCUUCUACAGGAAAUCUUCAUCCUUCUGAUUAUCAGUAUUCAGUGUCUCAUCCUAGGCAACUUAUUGUCCUUGUGUUAUUGUAGGAGACAUUGGUAUUUGUGGAGGGGAGAUGAAGAAAGAGCAUUGGGAGGAG
Molecule: long non-coding RNA, 404 nt
Organism: Gracilinanus agilis (Agile Gracile Mouse Opossum)
Lineage: Eukaryota; Metazoa; Chordata; Mammalia; Didelphimorphia; Didelphidae
Exons: 3
Source: RefSeq, a predicted model, not a curated record